RNAcentral lists this ribosomal RNA (486 nucleotides) under Pontibacillus yanchengensis. Its description in RNAcentral is "bacterial SSU rRNA". It matches the Rfam family "Bacterial small subunit ribosomal RNA", at positions 12 to 479 of the family's 1533-position model. The record is from RNAcentral. Lineage: Bacteria; Bacillati; Bacillota; Bacilli; Caryophanales; Bacillaceae.
UUUGAUCCUGGCUCAGGACGAACGCUGGCGGCGUGCCUAAUACAUGCAAGUCGAGCGCGUGAAGCAACAUGAUCCCUUCGGGGUGAUUGUUGUGGAUCGAGCGGCGGACGGGUGAGUAACACGUGGAUAACCUACCUUCGAGAUCGGGAUAACCCCGGGAAACCGGGGCUAAUACCGAAUAAUCUGUUAGACCGCAUGGUCGAACAGCAAAAGGCGGCCUAGCCGUCACUCGAAGAUGGAUCCGCGGCGCAUUAGCUAGUUGGUAAGGUAACGGCUUACCAAGGCAACGAUGCGUAGCCGACCUGAGAGGGUGAUCGGCCACACUGGGACUGAGACACGGCCCAGACUCCUACGGGAGGCAGCAGUAGGGAAUCUUCCGCAAUGGACGAAAGUCUGACGGAGCAACGCCGCGUGAACGAUGAAGGUCUUCGGAUCGUAAAGUUCUGUUGUUAGGGAAGAACAAGUGCCAGAGGAAAUGCUGGCACC